AUUUAUUUUAUUAGUUAUUUAUUUAUUUCAUUAAAUUUUUAGUAUAAUAAUAAUUAUUGUUUAAAAUUUCUUUAUUGGAAUAUUUUAUAUUUAUUUAUUAAUUUUUUAGUACCUUUUGUAUCAGGGUAAUUUAAUUUUUUUAUAAAUAUUUUUUUCCCGAAAUAAAUAGGUCAAUUAAAUUUUUAUUUUAUUUAUUGCAAAAAUUAAAUUAAUUUUUUUUUAGUAGAGAUAUUCUAUUCGAUUUUUAUUAUAUCUGGUUUUUUAAGACUAAAUUUAAUUUUAAAUUUUUUAUUUAAGAAAAUUUUAUUUUAUUAGGGAUAAGCUUUAUAUUUAAAUAUAAUUUUUAUUGUUUCAUUUUUUUUAAUUUUUAAAUUUUUUAUUUAGUUAUUAAUAUAUUUAAUUGUUUUAAUAAUAAUUUUGUUUAAUUUAUUUUUUUAUUAAAAAUAUUUAUUUAUUUAUAAUUUAUUUUAAAUCUUGGAUUAAUUAGUAAAAUUUUAAUUUAAUAUUAAAUGAAUUCAGCAAAUAUAAUUUUCAACUGUUUAACAAAAACAUUUCUUUUAGUUAUUAUUAAAAGUAAAUUCUGCCCUAUGAUUAUUUAAAUGGCUGCAGUAUUUUAACUGUACAAAGGUAGCAUAAUAAUUAGUCUUUUAAUUGAGGACUAGAAUGAAAGAUUAAAUGAGAAAUUUAUUUUAUUAAUUUUAUUUUUUAAAUUUUAUUUUUAAGUAAAAAAGCUUAAUAAAUCUUUUGGGACGAAAAGACCCUAUAGAACUUUAUUUAAUUUUUUUUAUUUUUUAUUAUUUAAAAAUUAUUAUUAGAAUUUAAAUUUUAUUGGGGUGAUUAAUAAAAUAAACUUUAUUUUUAAUUUUCAUUAAUUUAUGAUUUUUUUGUAUUAAAUUCUUAAUUAAAAGAUUAAGUUACCUUAGGGAUAACAGCGUAAUUUUUAUGGGGAGUUCAUAUCUAUAUAUAAGUUUGCGACCUCGAUGUUGAAUUAAGAUUAAUUAAUGAAGAAGUAUUUGUUAUUUUAAGUCUGUUCGACUUUUAAAUUCUUACAUGAUUUGAGUUCAAACCGGUGUAAGCCAGGUUGGUUUCUAUCUUAAAUUUAUUAAAGUAAUUUAGUACGAAAGGACCAUUUACUAUAUUUUUACUAAUAUUUAUUUU
This 1158-nucleotide ribosomal RNA is filed under the name Eurhadina exclamationis. Its description in RNAcentral is "16S ribosomal RNA". The record is from RNAcentral. Lineage: Eukaryota; Metazoa; Arthropoda; Insecta; Hemiptera; Cicadellidae.